GUACACGCUGUGACUAGCAUAUCAAUAAGCGGAGGAAAAGAAACUAACAAGGAUUCCCCUAGUAACGGCGAGUGAAGCGGGAAGAGCUCAAAUUUGAAAUCUUAAAGGGUUUCCCUUUACGAAUCGUAGUUUAAAGAAGUGUUUUCUGUUGAGGUUUUGGUAAAAGUUCUUUGGAAUAGGACAUCAUAGAGGGUGAGAAUCCCGUAUUUGACCUUUACUUUCAACUUUGUGAUACACUUUCAAAGAGUCGGAUUGUUUGGGAAUGCAGUCCAAAAUGGGUGGUAAAUUUCAUCUAAAGCUAAAUAUUGGCGAGAGACCGAUAGCGAACAAGUACCGUGAGGGAAAGAUGAAAAGAACUUUGAAAAGAGAGUUAAACAGUACGUGAAAUUGUCAAAAGGGAAGCGUUUGACACCAGUGUUGUUUUUCUGAAAAUCAAUUAAAGAACUGUUUAUGCUAAGCUGUUUAGACUUUAUCAGCUAUCUGUUUAGUUUUGAGCUUUUCUUUAAUGCACUUUUCAGUUAACAAGUCAACAUCAAUUUCUUUUGCUGUAAAAGAGCUUGAGGAAGGUGGCUUGAGAUUCGUCUUAAGUGUUUAUAGCCUCUUGCCUAUGCAGUCGGAGAGAUUGAGGUCUGCAGCGUAGAUCCUUCGGGGCUAAAUGCAUUUGUGCUAAGUUAUAGCAUUUUAUAGACAACUUGUUGACUAUGAUUUGUCUUGUAGCUUACUCGCUUAUGUUAUUUUACCUACGCUUAGGAUGUUGAAGAUGUAGCACAUCAU
This 774-nucleotide ribosomal RNA is filed under the name uncultured Neocallimastigales. Its description in RNAcentral is "partial large subunit ribosomal RNA". It matches the Rfam family "Eukaryotic large subunit ribosomal RNA", at positions 22 to 635 of the family's 3401-position model. Lineage: Eukaryota; Fungi; Neocallimastigomycota; Neocallimastigomycetes; Neocallimastigales. The record is from RNAcentral.